UUCCUACGGGACGCAGCAGUGAGGAAUAUUGGUCAAUGGGAGAGAUCCUGAACCAGCCAAGCCGCGUGAGGGAAGACGGCCCUAUGGGUUGUAAACCUCUUUUGUCGGAGAACAAAACCCGGGACGUGUCCCGGACUGCGUGUAUCCGAAGAAAAAGCAUCGGCUAACUCCGUGCCAGCAGCCGCGGUAAUACGGAGGAUGCGAGCGUUAUCCGGAUUUAUUGGGUUUAAAGGGUGCGUAGGCGGUCCGUUAAGUCAUCGGUCAAAUUUCGGGGUUCAACCCCUUCGACCCUUUGAAACUGGCAG
RNAcentral lists this ribosomal RNA (305 nucleotides) under uncultured bacterium. Its description in RNAcentral is "bacterial SSU rRNA". It matches the Rfam family "Bacterial small subunit ribosomal RNA", at positions 336 to 639 of the family's 1533-position model. The record is from RNAcentral.